GUAUUUUUACAAUUUUCAGGUGCCCGACAUGGGAUAAUAUGGGAACCCUGUUUGAAUCAGGGACGGGCCCGCCGCUGUAAUCGGAGACGAACGCUGUAAAGAAACCACUGGCUGUUUUAUGCCGGGAAGGAACAGCUACUAGGAUGAACCGAAAGUCAGAAGACCUGCCUGGAAAUAGGAAAUGUC
This 186-nucleotide non-coding RNA is filed under the name Desulfobacula toluolica. Lineage: Bacteria; Pseudomonadati; Thermodesulfobacteriota; Desulfobacteria; Desulfobacterales; Desulfobacteraceae. RNAcentral also lists the same sequence under 1 other name. The record is from RNAcentral.